AUUGAACGCUGGCGGCAGGCCUAACACAUGCAAGUCGAACGAGUGGCGGACGGGUGAGUUAUGUCUGGGAAACUGCCCGAUGGAGGGGGAUAACUACUGGAAACGGUAGAUAAUACCGCAUACCCUCGUAUGUCCCCAGAUGGGAUUAGCUUGUAGGUGGGGUAACGGCUCACCUAGGCGACGAUCCCUAGCUGGUCUGAGAGGAUGACCAGCCACACUGGAACUGAGACACGGUCCAGACGCCUACGGGAGGCAGCAGUGGGGAAUAUUGCACAAUGGGCGCAAGCCUGAUGCAGCCAGGCCGCGUGUAUGAAGAAGGCCUUCGGGUUGUAAAGUACUUUCAGCGAGGAGGCGUUACUCGCAGAAGAAGCACCGGCUAACUCCGUGCCAGCAGCCGCGGUAAUUC
Molecule: ribosomal RNA, 406 nt
Filed under: uncultured bacterium
Lineage: Bacteria
Description: partial 16S ribosomal RNA
Rfam family: Bacterial small subunit ribosomal RNA
Source: RNAcentral